AAGAGCUUGCUCUUUCCGGAAUUGAGUGGCAAACGGGUGAGUAACACGUAAACAACCUGCCUUCAGGAUGGGGACAACAGACGGAAACGACUGCUAAUACCGAAUAAGUUCCAAGAGCCGCAUGGCCCAUGGAAGAAAAGGUGGCCUCUACCUGUAAGCUAUCGCCUGAAGAGGGGUUUGCGUCUGAUUAGCUGGUUGGAGAGGUAACGGCCCACCAAGGCGACGAUCAGUAGCCGGUCUGAGAGGAUGAACGGCCACACUGGAACUGAGACACGGUCCAGACUCCUACGGGAGGCAGCAGUGGGGAAUCUUCCGCAAUGGGCGAAAGCCUGACGGAGCAACGCCGCGUGAGUGAUGACGGCCUUCGGGUUGUAAAACUCUGUGAUCCGGGACGAAAAGGCAGAGUGCGAAGAACAAACUGCAUUGACGGUACCGGAAAAGCAAGCCACGGCUAACUACGUGCCAGCAGCCGCGGUAAUACGUAGGUGGCAAGCGUUGUCCGGAAUUAUUGGGCGUAAAGCGCGCGCAGGCGGCUUCCCAAGUCCCUCUUAAAAGUGCGGGGCUUAACCCCGUGAUGGGAAGGAAACUGGGAAGCUGGAGUAUCGGAGAGGAAAGUGGAAUU
This 622-nucleotide ribosomal RNA is filed under the name uncultured Peptococcaceae bacterium. RNAcentral's name for it is "bacterial SSU rRNA". It matches the Rfam family "Bacterial small subunit ribosomal RNA", at positions 74 to 668 of the family's 1533-position model. The record is from RNAcentral. Lineage: Bacteria; Bacillati; Bacillota; Clostridia; Eubacteriales; Peptococcaceae.